RNAcentral lists this ribosomal RNA (460 nucleotides) under uncultured bacterium. RNAcentral describes it as "partial 16S ribosomal RNA". It matches the Rfam family "Bacterial small subunit ribosomal RNA", at positions 338 to 795 of the family's 1533-position model. The record is from RNAcentral.
CCUACGGGUGGCAGCAGUGAGGAAUAUUGGUCAAUGGGCGCGAGCCUGAACCAGCCAAGUAGCGUGAAGGAUGACUGCCCUACGGGUUGUAAACUUCUUUUAUAAAGGAAUAAAGUGCGGCACGUGUGCCUUUUUGUAUGUACUUUAUGAAUAAGGAUCGGCUAACUCCGUGCCAGCAGCCGCGGUAAUACGGAGGAUCCGAGCGUUAUCCGGGUUUAUUGGGUUUAAAGGGCGCGUAGGUGGGUUGUUAAGUCAGCUGUGAAAGUUUGUGGCUCAACCGUAAAAUUGCAGUGGAAACUGGUAGACUGGAGUACAGGUGAGGUAGGCGGAAUGCGUGGUGUAGCGGUGAAAGGCUUAGAUAUCACGAAGAACUCCGAUUGCGAAGGCAGCUUACUAAACUGUCACUGACACUGAUGCUCGAAAGUGUGGGUAUCAAACAGGAUUAGAUACCCUAGUAGUC